RNAcentral lists this ribosomal RNA (471 nucleotides) under uncultured organism. Its description in RNAcentral is "partial 16S ribosomal RNA". It matches the Rfam family "Bacterial small subunit ribosomal RNA", at positions 335 to 797 of the family's 1533-position model. The record is from RNAcentral.
ACUCCUGCGGGAGGCAGCAGUGGGGAAUUUUGGACAAUGGGCGAAAGCCUGAUCCAGCAAUGCCGCGUGAGUGAAGAAGGACUUCGGGUUGUAAAGCUCUUUUGUCAGGGAAGAAACGGUGAAAGCUAAUAUCUUUUGCUAAUGACGGUACCUGAAGAAUAAGCACCGGCUAACUACGUGCCAGCAGCCGCGGUAAUACGUAGGGUGCAAGCGUUAAUCGGAAUUACUGGGCGUAAAGCGUGCGCAGGCGGUUUUGUAAGUCUGAUGUGAAAUCCCCGGGCUCAACCUGGGAAUUGCAUUGGAGACUGCAAGGCUAGAAUCUGGCAGAGGGGGGUAGAAUUCCACGUGUAGCAGUGAAAUGCGUAGAUAUGUGGAGGAACACCGAUGGCGAAGGCAGCCCCCUGGGUCAAGAUUGACGCUGAUGCACGAAAGCGUGGGGAGCAAACAGGAUUAGAUACCCCUGUAGUCCCA